This is a non-coding RNA of Caenorhabditis elegans, 209 nucleotides long. NCBI's taxonomy places the organism in Eukaryota, Metazoa, Nematoda, Chromadorea, Rhabditida, Rhabditidae. The record is from Ensembl.
UGCUUACAUCGAGACCAUACUAUACAGAAUCAUUUCUGCAGUAUGUAUCUCGUAAUUCCCAUCAAAUUGGUAGAGAUGCCAUCCGCGAUGAGUGGGAGACGGGCGAGCCGCGAGCGUGAAACAGUUCUUCGGAACUUGAUGACCGCACGGAGCCGAUGAAUUUUGGAGCCGUAGUGGCUUGCUCUUCUGAGCGGAUAUAAUUGAACAAG